Oryza brachyantha (malo sina) is the source of this 1737-nucleotide RNA transcript. RefSeq lists it as uncharacterized. NCBI's taxonomy places the organism in Eukaryota, Viridiplantae, Streptophyta, Magnoliopsida, Poales, Poaceae. The transcript has 6 exons. The record is from RefSeq and is a predicted model, not a curated record.
CCUCGGUGUGGUGGUCAUCUGCCGCCGCCGCCGCUCUCGCGAUGGCGAGGCCGUUGCCGAACCAAGCACGGGGACAGCCGUCCGCCACCUCCCUCCGUCACCUCCCCGGGCACUCGAAGCCGUCGCCGAGGCUGUCCGCGCCGGCUCUCCGGAAGGCCGCGGCGGUGCUCCUCCUCGCUGCGGCCGUGGCGCUGCCCUGUGCCAUGCUGUACCGCGCCGCGGUGUUGAAUGCGGUUCAGACGGUGCAGGUGGGCUGGGAUCGCAGUCCGUGGUGGGAGCGGGACCAGCCGCCCCCUGCCGUUAUGGUUCCCGAGGAGGACGGCGACGGCGAUCCCGUUGCUGCCGACGAUCUGGACAGUGGCGACCUCAAACUUGAGCAAGUUCUGCAGGAGGCCUCUAUGGAUAAUAAGACCAUUAUAUUGACCACGCUUAAUGCUGCAUGGGCUUAUCCAGGCUCAGUCAUUGAUCUUUUUAUCAACAGUUUUCGCCGUGGUGUUAGGACUAGUUCACUUUUGAGACAUCUUGUGAUAAUAACAUUUGAUGGGAAGGCUUACAAAAGAUGUAUGAAGAUCCACACAUACUGCUUCGCUCUUCCAACUGAGGAUGUGGAUUUUUCUCAGGAGAAGAGGUUUCAGACUUCUGGGUAUCUGGAGAUGAUGUGGAAAAGGUUGGAUUUCUUGCGGCUAGUUCUCGAAAAAGGUUACAGCUUCAUUUUCUCGGAUGCAGACGUCAUGUGGUUCCGCAAUCCUUUUCCACAUUUCUACCCUGAUGGAGAUUUUCAGAUUGCAUGUGAUCACUAUGUAGGCAAUGCAACUGACUUGGGAAACAUAGCUAACGGAGGAUUUAACUAUGUGAGGUCGAACAAUCAAAGCAUAGAGUUCUACAAGUUUUGGUAUUCUUCACGACUGAGAUAUCCUGGCUAUCAUGAUCAGGAUGUGUUUAACUUUAUAAAGCACGAUCCUUAUAUUACAGAUAUUGGACUGAAAAUUAAGUUCCUAAGCACUACAUACUUUGGUGGCAUUUGUGAACCUAGCAGAGAUUUAAACAACGUUUGCACUAUGCAUGUAAACUGUUGUAUUGGGUUACAGAGCAAACUUCAUGAUCUAAGAAUCAUGAUGGAAGACUGGAGCAAUUAUAUGUCUAUGCCACCAAGCUUAAAAAGAUUUGCGGCAUUCUCAUGGAGGGUACCACAAAAUUGCAGUCUUUCAUUACUUAACCAGUGAGACAUACUUUUGGGGUUGCUAACUGUUGGACAUGCCAAUUUUCUGAGCACAUAACUGCCGGAAAGAAAAAAAUACUUUGAAGGAGAAAAGGACUGCUGCAUCAUGAACUUUGCCAAAAUUUGAUGCCUUCAGUAAUGUUGUGCAUCUAUCUUUGGGAACAUAGUGUCAGCAAAGCUGCAAAGCCAUGCAAAUAUGCAAUUUUAAAUUGCGUAAAACUGGUAGAAGUUUCAUCUAUGUGAAAAGUACCGCAAAAUACACAGCUGCAUGACCUUGGCAAGGGCUUUUGGGACCCGGACAUUGGUACGUAAAUACCAGCUUUUGCAAGUUUUUUAGAAAACACAGUGCAGCACAAUGUUUAGGCAUCCAUUUUUUUCUCUCAUUUUAGCAGAUUGAAAUUAAUUUGUUAAUAGAUACGGGGAAUUCCCCCAAUGCUCUAAUGCAAAGGAUUGCCUGAAUCUGUCCCAUAUGUAUAGGGCCAGUCUACUUCUCUGUCUUUCUUACGUACUCCUUCCGU